Long non-coding RNA from Bactrocera neohumeralis, 2133 nucleotides. RefSeq lists it as uncharacterized. The record is from RefSeq and is a predicted model, not a curated record. NCBI's taxonomy places the organism in Eukaryota, Metazoa, Arthropoda, Insecta, Diptera, Tephritidae. The transcript has 3 exons.
GGCACCAUGCCUGCCCAGUGCUUAGGUGACACUCGCACCGCGAUGUGUUGUGAUGUGAAAGUCGCAAGGUGACAUCACUGUAAGCCGGCUGCCUGCUGGCUCUAUAAAAGAAAGGCGGGCACCGUGCCUGGCCAGUGCUUAGGUGACACUCGCGCUGCGAUGUGUUGUGAUGUGAAAGUCGCAAGGUAACAUCACUGUAAGCUGGAUGUAAGCCCGCCGCCUGCUGGCUCUAUAAAAGAAAGGCGGGCACCGUGCCUGGCCAGUGCUUAGAUGACACUCGCGCCGGGGAUGUGUUGUGAUGUGAAAGUAGCACCAAGUUUAUAACCUUCGAUCUCAGAAUGAAUUUGUUUUUUGGAUCGAUGAUGGCUUUCCAAGGGAUUUUUUAUGAAAUUUUAAGUUUUCAUACACGCAUAAGCCUUUAAACCUAUUCAGCGGCUUUAAUCGUUUAAGGACAUUAAUGCAUAAUAUAUGUAUGUAUAAUAUAUAUAAGUAAGGGUACUAAGAGAUAAUUGUUGAGAAACAGCUCACCUGUCGGUUUAGCUACUAUUUACAUGAAUGCAUAGUAAUUACCCAAAAAUAAUUAUUUGUAUAGUUAACAGGGUUAAGUGUCAAAAGGAUGGGCCAAAAACGACACUGGCCAGCUAUUAAAUAUACUUACAAGUGCAAUUGUUGUAAUAAAUCGUCAACCAGCAAAUAUUGUCAAAUGUUAGCUUUCCAAAUGUAAGUCAGCCAUUGACAAUGAUGCGAGCCAUAGAUAAUGGGUUUCGGAGUGUCGCCUCAAGUACAAACCCCUUACAUUAGACUGCAGACAAAAACAGCGUCACAUGUCCGCGCACAACUACAUAUAGACAGACAUAUAAACAAAUAUACACAUGGAUAUUACGGAACACCUUAGAAGGGUAUCAUCACCGUUAUACAAACAUAUACAUAUAUGUAUGCAUAGCUGAAAUACGCACAUUAAGAAAUCUGAAAGGGUCGGAACGGUGCAUAAAGCCAAAAGCAAACAAUUUAAGUAACGAUGAAAGCAAUUAUUUGUUAUUGCAUUAGCGACAAUUACCGAAUGUUAUUAGUUCACAAAAAGAAGCCCUCUAUUAAAUAUUUGAGUGCGGUGCAGAUAUCGGUGAAUAUAUGGUGAGACAUAUGUAUGCAUUACCUUCAAUAACUGGUUAUACUGCUAAAUAAAGAACAUAAGAAGUAGCUGUCAUCCUCCUUUCUUCUAGUUGCUUAGAGCCUUAAUUUACUCAACGUCUUCGGUUAGACCCAUUAUAGCUCUAUGCAGUAGACUCCGAAGCACUAUUGCCUUUUCUGAAAGAGUAUUGAAGAAUGCUGAUAUACACAGAAGAGUUCGUUCCAAUUUCGUAAAGCCGUAGGACACAGCCUCGCCCACAAAACGGAAACCUAUAAUUUUCAUAAAAGUAAACGCAUUAAGUUAACAUGAUCAGCUUGAACGAACGCUAUAUACUAAAAUAACCCGAUAGCAUAAAAUGUGAACAAGUAUCAUUGACGCUAAAUGUAAACAGAAGUUGUGGACUUGGCUAAAUGUAAACAAAGGUUGUUGUCUUGGCUAAAUGUAAACAAAAAGGUCAAUGAUCUCAACAAAAUGUAAAGAAUAGAGUUAUGCUACACUUGAAAGUAUUUCCUUUGCUUUUAUCCUUUCAAGUUACAAUGAUAUAAAAUGUGCGGGUUUUCGCGAACUUAGCCCUUCCUUAGUUGUUUAAUUUGUUUAUUAAAAAUCCAAAACUUAAUGAAUUCGGUCACAAUAGAAGCUUCUAAAUAUAAUCUGGGAAAAUCCAUGCCAGCAGACACUUGUAGCCAAUGCUGAUUGCUAGUGAUAAUAGAAGUAUGUGCAACUACUUAAGCCAUCUCUAAGCAGUCCACCUAGCGAGCCCCUGUUUCCGGCUAUCCUGGUACACCUGGUGACCCUAAGCAGAUAGCCGACUUUUUUUUAUAGUAGGGGAAGCACAGAGAGCUGGAGUGCGGAACUUUAGUCCGCUAAACCUAACCUACUCCCAACUCAAGACUUAUGGGUACUCACGGAAUGCGUGAGCUACACGAUGAACUCAAGCUCGUGGUGCUGAUUUUCUGCAACUCACAAAGCCGAUCCCAUGCGAUAUUGAACUGCCGUGGUGUACG